RNAcentral lists this unclassified non-coding RNA (599 nucleotides) under Hevea brasiliensis (rubber tree). Lineage: Eukaryota; Viridiplantae; Streptophyta; Magnoliopsida; Malpighiales; Euphorbiaceae. The record is from RNAcentral.
GACAAUUUCAAAUGACUAUUUUGCUGCUUUUCAUGAUUACAUACUCAUGAGUGAAUUCUCGAACAGCCACAAUAUGCCUGGAUGAAUCAACAAGAGUUGAGUUCCUAAACUCAGACAAAUACCGAUACAGCUCAAAGCUGUUCCCAAACAAUACAAUACAAUUCAACAGGUCCACUCCCCAGUUUGCCUGUAGAAGAUUGUUGUAUAAUUCUGCCUCGCAAUGUGGCAUGUAAAAUAUUGUAGGCUUGGUAACACGUCGACGACCGUGUUCAUUCAUGGAUAGAACAGAACAACCAAGGACUUCCAAAACUCGAGAUUCUGUUGCAGAAAGUACCGGAUCAAAAACCUCUAUGUCCCCAAUCCAACUGAACUCUUUUUUCAUCAAGAUUGCAACACUCAGCUGAAUUCGAGGAGUUUCAUAUGAUUCAAUGCUGCCAAUACCAUAUAUCACCAUCGGCAUUUUCAACUCUGAGCCAAGAACCCUGUAAAAACAAUCCAAGAUUUCUGGAGUCCGAAUUUGUUCCAAAAGGUUAAGAUAAAAUUGAGAGUUCUCUACUUUCUUCAUACAGGUCUGCAUCUUUUCUAUCAACUUUGAUUGU